GACGAACGCUGGCGGCGUGCUUAACACAUGCAAGUCGAACGGUAAGGCCCUUCGGGGUACACGAGUGGCGAACGGGUGAGUAACACGUGGGUGAUCUGCCCUGCACUUUGGGAUAAGCCUGGGAAACUGGGUCUAAUACCGGAUAGGACUCCGGACUGCAUGGUCUGGGGUGGAAAGCUUUUGCGGUGUGGGAUGGGCCCGCGGCCUAUCAGCUUGUUGGUGGGGUGAUGGCCUACCAAGGCGACGACGGGUAGCCGGCCAGAGAGGGUGACCGGCCACACUGGGACUGAGAUACGGCCCAGACUCCUACGGGAGGCAGCAGUGGGGAAUAUUGCACAAUGGGCGCAAGCCUGAUGCAGCGACGCCGCGUGAGGGAUGACGGCCUUCGGGUUGUAAACCUCUUUCAGUAGGGACGAAGCGCAAGUGACGGUACCUACAGAAGAAGGACCGGCCAACUACGUGCCAGCCGCCGCUGUAA
This 478-nucleotide ribosomal RNA is filed under the name uncultured bacterium. RNAcentral describes it as "partial 16S ribosomal RNA". It matches the Rfam family "Bacterial small subunit ribosomal RNA", at positions 28 to 523 of the family's 1533-position model. The record is from RNAcentral.